This 456-nucleotide ribosomal RNA is filed under the name uncultured Rhodocyclaceae bacterium. Its description in RNAcentral is "bacterial SSU rRNA". It matches the Rfam family "Bacterial small subunit ribosomal RNA", at positions 925 to 1382 of the family's 1533-position model. The record is from RNAcentral. Lineage: Bacteria; Pseudomonadati; Pseudomonadota; Betaproteobacteria; Rhodocyclales; Rhodocyclaceae.
ACAAGCGGUGGAUGAUGUGGAUUAAUUCGAUGCAACGCGAAAACCUUACCUACCCUUGACAUGUCCGGAAUCCCGAAGAGAUUUGGGAGUGCUCGCAAGAGAACCGGAACACAGGUGCUGCAUGGCUGUCGUCAGCUCGUGUCGUGAGAUGUUGGGUUAAGUCCCGCAACGAGCGCAACCCUUGUCAUUAGUUGCCAUCAUUUGGUUGGGCACUCUAAUGAGACUGCCGGUGACAAACCGGAGGAAGUGGGGAUGACGUCAAGUCCUCAUGGCCCUUAUGGGUAGGGCUUCACACGUCAUACAAUGGCCGGUACAAAGGGCAGCGACAUUGCGAGAUGGAGCGAAUCCCGAAAAGCCGGUCUCAGUCCGGAUUGGAGUCUGCAACUCGACUCCAUGAAGUUGGAAUCGCUAGUAAUCGUGGAUCAGCAUGCCACGGUGAAUACGUUCCCGGGCCUU